UGGAAACCUGUUCUCCACAGUAAUUC
This 26-nucleotide non-coding RNA is filed under the name Homo sapiens (human). Lineage: Eukaryota; Metazoa; Chordata; Mammalia; Primates; Hominidae. The record is from RNAcentral.